This 376-nucleotide ribosomal RNA is filed under the name uncultured eukaryote. RNAcentral's name for it is "partial 18S ribosomal RNA". It matches the Rfam family "Eukaryotic small subunit ribosomal RNA", at positions 592 to 976 of the family's 1831-position model. The record is from RNAcentral.
CAAGAGCGUAUAUUAAAGUUGCUGCGGUUAAAAAGCUCGUAGUUGGAUUUCAGUCUAGGAAGGUUAACUCGCCGAAAGGUUGUACGUUGAUUUUCCUCAGACUUCGUCAGAAGCUCGUGCUGCACUUAACUGUGUGGUACGAUGUUCUGACCUUUUACCUUGAGGAAAGUAGAGUGUUUCAGGCAGGCUACCCAGCUUGAAUACAUUAGCAUGGAAUAAUGAAAUGGAUCUCGGUUCGAUUUCGUUGGUUCUAGAGCUGAGGUGAUGAUCAAUAGGAACAGGCGAAGGUAUACGUACUUGAGAGUGAGGAGUGAAAUCCGAUGAUCUCUUAAAGACGAUCCGAGGCGAAAGCAUUUGUCAAGGAUGUUUUCAUUGA